Molecule: ribosomal RNA, 511 nt
Filed under: Hepatozoon sp. ex Nasua nasua
Lineage: Eukaryota; Apicomplexa; Hepatozoidae
Description: bacterial SSU rRNA
Rfam family: Eukaryotic small subunit ribosomal RNA
Source: RNAcentral
UUUAUUAGAUAAAAAACCAAURCAURYUUUUACAGUAUGAAAGUUGGUGAUUUACAAUAACUUAGCAAAUCGCAAAGUGUAAACAGGCGAUAAAUCAUUCAAGUUUCUGACCUAUCAGCUUUCGACGGUAUGGUAUUGGCUUACCGUGGCAGUGACGGUUAACGGGGGAUUAGGGUUCGAUUCCGGAGAGGGAGCCUGAGAAACGGCUACCACAUCUAAGGAAGGCAGCAGGCGCGCAAAUUACCCAAUUCUAACAGYWURAGAGAGGUAGUGACAAGAAAUAACAAUACAAGGCAAUUAAAAUGCUUUGUAAUUGGAAUGAUAGAAAUUUAAACACUUUUUAAAGUAUCAAUUGGAGGGCAAGUCUGGUGCCAGCAGCCGCGGUAAUUCCAGCUCCAAUAGCGUAUAUUAAAAUUGUUGCAGUUAAAAAGCUCGUAGUUGAAUUUCUGYUAAAAAUAACCGGUCUGCUUUUAUAUAAAAGUGGUAUCUUGGUGUGUUUUUAGCAAUAAUG